GACGAACGCUGGCGGCGUGCCUAAUACAUGCAAGUAGAACGCUGAAGGAGGAGCUUGCUUCUCUGGAUGAGUUGCGAACGGGUGAGUAACGCGUAGGUAACCUGCCUGGUAGCGGGGGAUAACUAUUGGAAACGAUAGCUAAUACCGCAUAAGAGUAGAUGUCGCAUGACAUUUGCUUAAAAGGUGCAAUUGCAUCACUACCAGAUGGACCUGCGUUGUAUUAGCUAGUUGGUGAGGUAACGGCUCACCAAGGCAACGAUACAUAGCCGACCUGAGAGGGGGAUCGGCCACACUGGGACUGAGACACGGCCCAGACUCCUACGGGAGGCAGCAGUAGGGAAUCUUCGGCAAUGGACGGAAGUCUGACCGAGCAACGCCGCGUGAGUGAAGAAGGUUUUCGGAUCGUAAAGCUCUGUUGUAAGAGAAGAACGAGUGUGAGAGUGGGAAGUUCACACUGUGACGGUAUCUUACCAGAAAGGGACGGCUAACUACGUG
RNAcentral lists this ribosomal RNA (495 nucleotides) under uncultured bacterium. Its description in RNAcentral is "partial 16S ribosomal RNA". It matches the Rfam family "Bacterial small subunit ribosomal RNA", at positions 28 to 507 of the family's 1533-position model. The record is from RNAcentral.